GCGGCAAUAGCUCAGUGAGUAAAGCGUCAGGUGAGAAGAUGGCGAUCCGAGAACUAUUAUCCGCGCGGGUUCGAAUCCCGCUUAUGGCA
Non-coding RNA from Aromia moschata, 89 nucleotides. The record is from the annotation of a GenBank genome assembly. NCBI's taxonomy places the organism in Eukaryota, Metazoa, Arthropoda, Insecta, Coleoptera, Cerambycidae.